GACGAACGCUGGCGGCGUGCCUAAUACAUGCAAGUCGAGCGAAGUUUUUCUGGUGCUUGCACCGGAAAAACUUAGCGGCGAACGGGUGAGUAACACGUAAAGAACCUGCCUCAUAGACUGGGACAACUAUUGGAAACGAUAGCUAAUACCGGAUAACAGCAUUAACUGCAUGGUUGAUGUUUAAAAGUUGGUUUUGCUAACACUAUGAGAUGGCUUUGCGGUGCAUUAGCUAGUUGGUGGGGUAAAGGCCUACCAAGGCGACGAUGCAUAGCCGACCUGAGAGGGUGAUCGGCCACACUGGGACUGAGACACGGCCCAGACUCCUACGGGAGGUAGCAGUAGGGAAUCUUCCGCAAUGGGCGAAAGCCUGACGGAGCAACGCCGCGUGAGUGAAGAAGGAUUUCGGUUCGUAAAGCUCUGUUGUUAGGGAAGAAUGAUUGUGUAGUAACUAUACACAGUAGAGACGGUACCUAACCAGAAAGCCACGGCUAACUACGUG
Molecule: ribosomal RNA, 499 nt
Filed under: uncultured bacterium
Lineage: Bacteria
Description: partial 16S ribosomal RNA
Rfam family: Bacterial small subunit ribosomal RNA
Source: RNAcentral